UACAGAGGUCUCGAGCGUUGUUCGGAUUCAUUGGGCGUAAAGGGCGCGUAGGCGGCGCCACAAGUCACUUGUGAAAACUCUGGGCUCAACUCAGAGCCUGCAAGCGAAACUGUGGUGCUGGAGUAUGGGAGAGGUGCGUGGAAUUCCCGGUGUAGCGGUGAAAUGCGUAGAUAUCAGGAGGAACACCGAUGGCGAAGGCAGGUCUCUGGGCCAUAACUGACGCUGAGAAGCGAAAGCAUGGGGAGCGAACAGG
This 253-nucleotide ribosomal RNA is filed under the name uncultured bacterium. RNAcentral's name for it is "partial 16S ribosomal RNA". It matches the Rfam family "Bacterial small subunit ribosomal RNA", at positions 524 to 776 of the family's 1533-position model. The record is from RNAcentral.